UUGUGAGUAGCUUAACGGUAAAGCCCGGGGCUCAUAACCCCGUCGAUGCGGGUUCGAAUCCCGUCUCACUCA
RNAcentral lists this transfer RNA (72 nucleotides) under Kitasatospora griseola. It matches the Rfam family "tRNA". From Rfam's summary of the family: Transfer RNA (tRNA) molecules are approximately 80 nucleotides in length. The record is from Rfam by way of RNAcentral. Lineage: Bacteria; Bacillati; Actinomycetota; Actinomycetes; Kitasatosporales; Streptomycetaceae.